This 556-nucleotide ribosomal RNA is filed under the name Pediococcus pentosaceus. RNAcentral's name for it is "bacterial SSU rRNA". It matches the Rfam family "Bacterial small subunit ribosomal RNA", at positions 931 to 1487 of the family's 1533-position model. Lineage: Bacteria; Bacillati; Bacillota; Bacilli; Lactobacillales; Lactobacillaceae. The record is from RNAcentral.
GGUGGAGCAUGUGGUUUAAUUCGAAGCUACGCGAAGAACCUUACCAGGUCUUGACAUCUUCUGACAGUCUAAGAGAUUAGAGGUUCCCUUCGGGGACAGAAUGACAGGUGGUGCAUGGUUGUCGUCAGCUCGUGUCGUGAGAUGUUGGGUUAAGUCCCGCAACGAGCGCAACCCUUAUUACUAGUUGCCAGCAUUAAGUUGGGCACUCUAGUGAGACUGCCGGUGACAAACCGGAGGAAGGUGGGGACGACGUCAAAUCAUCAUGCCCCUUAUGACCUGGGCUACACACGUGCUACAAUGGAUGGUACAACGAGUCGCGAGACCGCGAGGUUAAGCUAAUCUCUUAAAACCAUUCUCAGUUCGGACUGUAGGCUGCAACUCGCCUACACGAAGUCGGAAUCGCUAGUAAUCGCGGAUCAGCAUGCCGCGGUGAAUACGUUCCCGGGCCUUGUACACACCGCCCGUCACACCAUGAGAGUUUGUAACACCCAAAGCCGGUGGGGUAACCUUUUUAGGAGCUAGCCGUCUAAGGUGGGACAGAUGAUUAGGGGAAGUC